This 164-nucleotide ribosomal RNA is filed under the name Streptochaeta sodiroana. Its description in RNAcentral is "5.8S ribosomal RNA". It matches the Rfam family "5.8S ribosomal RNA". From Rfam's summary of the family: 5.8S ribosomal RNA (5.8S rRNA) is a component of the large subunit of the eukaryotic ribosome. It is transcribed by RNA polymerase I as part of the 45S precursor that also contains 18S and 28S rRNA. Lineage: Eukaryota; Viridiplantae; Streptophyta; Magnoliopsida; Poales; Poaceae. The record is from RNAcentral.
GUUAUGACUCUCGGCAACGGAUAUCUCGGCUCUCGCAUCGAUGAAGAACGUAGCGAAAUGCGAUACCUGGUGUGAAUUGCAGAAUCCCGCGAACCAUCGAGUCUUUGAACGCAAGUUGCGCCCGAGGCCGCCGGGCCGAGGGCACGCCUGCCUGGGCGUCUCGC